GCAAACUUGGUCAUUUAGAGGAAGUAAAAGUCGUAACAAGGUUUCCGUAGGUGAACCUGCGGAAGGAUCAUUAUUGAAGCUUUCGAAAUGGUUUUGUUGCUGCCUUGAAAAAGGAUUUUGUGCACGGCCUUUCAUUCUUCUAUUUACCCACCUGUGAAUCUUUCAUGGAACUAUGUUUUAUUCUGUUUUUCACUGAAAAUGUGAGACUUGAGAGUUAGUUUAACUACUUUCUUUCAAAUAUAUUACAUAGUUCUGUGUUUUUCAUUAUACACUAUUGAAAUAAUUUUGAAUGUUAUAUUUUGCUUAUAUAGCAUAAUAAAAUAUAAUACAACUUUCAGCAACGGAUCUCUUGGCUCUCGCAUCGAUGAAGAACGCAGC
RNAcentral lists this unclassified non-coding RNA (378 nucleotides) under uncultured fungus. RNAcentral's name for it is "partial contains small subunit ribosomal RNA, internal transcribed spacer 1, and 5.8S ribosomal RNA". The stretch from base 1 to 73 matches the Rfam family "Eukaryotic small subunit ribosomal RNA", at positions 1759 to 1831 of the family's 1831-position model. The record is from RNAcentral. Lineage: Eukaryota; Fungi.